CCUACGGGAGGCAGCAGUGGGGAAUAUUGGACAAUGGGCGAAAGCCUGAUCCAGCCAUGCCGCGUGUGUGAAGAAGGCCUUCGGGUUGUAAAGCACUUUCAGUGGGGAAGAAAGCCUUGGGGCUAAUACCCUCGAGGAAGGACAUCACCCACAGAAGAAGCACCGGCUAACUCCGUGCCAGCAGCCGCGGUAAUACGGAGGGUGCGAGCGUUAAUCGGAAUUACUGGGCGUAAAGCGCGCGUAGGCGGUCUGAUAAGCCGGUUGUGAAAGCCCCGGGCUCAACCUGGGAACGGCAUCCGGAACUGUCAGGCUAGAGUGCAGGAGAGGAAAGUAGAAUUCCCGGUGUAGCGGUGAAAUGCGUAGAGAUCGGGAGGAAUACCAGUGGCGAAGGCGGCCUUCUGGACUGACACUGACGCUGAGGUGCGAAAGCGUGGGUAGCAAACAGGAUUAGAUACCCCAGUAGUC
This 465-nucleotide ribosomal RNA is filed under the name Vreelandella stevensii. Its description in RNAcentral is "partial 16S ribosomal RNA". It matches the Rfam family "Bacterial small subunit ribosomal RNA", at positions 338 to 795 of the family's 1533-position model. Lineage: Bacteria; Pseudomonadati; Pseudomonadota; Gammaproteobacteria; Oceanospirillales; Halomonadaceae. The record is from RNAcentral.